This 408-nucleotide unclassified non-coding RNA is filed under the name fungal sp. Its description in RNAcentral is "partial internal transcribed spacer region". The stretch from base 1 to 46 matches the Rfam family "Eukaryotic small subunit ribosomal RNA", at positions 1786 to 1831 of the family's 1831-position model. The record is from RNAcentral. Lineage: Eukaryota; Fungi.
AAGUCGUAACAAGGUUUCCGUAGGUGAACCUGCGGAAGGAUCAUUAACACGUAUCCAACGUUAAAACAACCCUGUGAACCUUCAAUCUUGCUCGCGUGGCUCCAUGAAAGCAGCAAUCCCUGGUAAAUCAUUGUCGACCAGAUUUUGAGUCAGGGACCUCUGCCGAUUGUUCGGUUUUUUGUGGUCAGCGGAAUUAUCGCGACCUGUCGGCGUUACAGUGUGGUGAUUUAUAAGGGGCAUGGUGACCCAGGGACCCGGUCGUCGGCCGUGUCGGCCUCCAACGAUCGUGUUUGCGCCACCCUUACACAAUCAAAGACGCUUUCAGAACUCUGAUUGCUUGGGGGUGCCAGGUCGCUUGCAUCGCUACGAGCGUAACUCUCACUGUUAACAAUGGAUAUCUUGGUUCUC